UCAGUAAUCUUACGAUAAUU
This 20-nucleotide small nuclear RNA is filed under the name Arabidopsis thaliana (thale cress). RNAcentral's name for it is "snRNA_05911". Lineage: Eukaryota; Viridiplantae; Streptophyta; Magnoliopsida; Brassicales; Brassicaceae. The record is from RNAcentral.